This 373-nucleotide ribosomal RNA is filed under the name uncultured organism. Its description in RNAcentral is "partial 16S ribosomal RNA". It matches the Rfam family "Bacterial small subunit ribosomal RNA", at positions 527 to 896 of the family's 1533-position model. The record is from RNAcentral.
GUAGGUGGCAAGCGUUGUCCGGAAUUAUUGGGCGUAAAGCGCGCGCAGGCGGUCCUUUAAGUCUGAUGUGAAAGCCCACGGCUCAACCGUGGAGGGUCAUUGGAAACUGGGGGGACUUGAGUACAGAAGAGGAAAGCGGAAUUCCAAGUGUAGCGGUGAAAUGCGUAGAGAUUUGGAGGAACACCAGUGGCGAAGGCGGCUUUCUGGUCUGUAACUGACGCUGAGGCGCGAAAGCGUGGGGAGCAAACAGGGAUUAGAUACCCUGGUAGUCCACGCCGUAAACGAUGAGUGCUAAGUGUUAGGGGGUUUCCGCCCCCUUAGUGCUGCAGCUAACGCAUUAAGCACUCCGCCUGGGGAUACGGCCGCAAGGCUG